This is a non-coding RNA of Podarcis lilfordi (Lilford's wall lizard), 834 nucleotides long. The record is from the annotation of a GenBank genome assembly. NCBI's taxonomy places the organism in Eukaryota, Metazoa, Chordata, Lepidosauria, Squamata, Lacertidae.
AACAUUAAAAGCAACAACUUUAUUACAGCAUAAUACAACGUUUAAAGUCUUUAAGAGUCCUCUCACUCUUUUUCUUUUUGCUACUCCAAACCCAACACAACACGAAACUAAACCCAAGGGAUACACGCCGCGGAACGGAGGCAAUCACGGCUUCCGGUCAGGCACCGCGGUGAUUACAGACACGCAUCUUUCCCUUGCAGACGUUAGAAAGGUACUCCGCGCGAGCCACAGGCGGUCAAAGUCCUCAGGCCGCAGCGGAAAUCGCGGGGUGAGAGCCGGGACGGGUUGCGCCCUGUUCCGCCGAGAAGUGGCCCCGAAGAAGUAGCCACAGUCGCCAGCGCCGGCUAUCAGGACACAGCCCGAGGGGACAAGCGCUUUCUCUGACGCUGUCUCUCUCUUGCCAGACAGGGCGACUUCUGAGCGCGCCAACCCGGCUGCGCCUCCCUCCCUAGGAAGUCAUUUGUCCUACAAGGGCGUCCGCCCCGCUCCACUCCUCGACGACGGCGCUGGGACGCGACCCAAAGGCGGGAACGGGCUGCUGCGGAAGGAGGCGGAGGCGGGCUGAGUGCCGCCCUCGGCGCGCUGUCCCCGCCCGGUCCCGUCCCGUCCUCCGCCUGGGAGCCUCCCCGGCCAGGUGUGUAGUCGGCGCCGAGUUCAGAGAGUCCGAGACGGCGGCUGCGGCGGGGUGAGUCCUUGGCCACGGGGAAGUCGCGCUGUAUGGGGUCGGAAAGGAGCUCAGAGGGGCAAGGUGGGCGGUGCUGCCGGCCCUACCUUUCGCCUAGGCUUGCCCCUGCUCGGUUUCUUUUCCAGUCCACGAGCGCGUAGCGGGAUCUG